This 253-nucleotide ribosomal RNA is filed under the name uncultured Lachnospiraceae bacterium. RNAcentral describes it as "partial 16S ribosomal RNA". It matches the Rfam family "Bacterial small subunit ribosomal RNA", at positions 524 to 776 of the family's 1533-position model. Lineage: Bacteria; Bacillati; Bacillota; Clostridia; Lachnospirales; Lachnospiraceae. The record is from RNAcentral.
UACGUAGGGGGCAAGCGUUAUCCGGAUUUACUGGGUGUAAAGGGAGCGUAGACGGCUGUGCAAGCCAGAUGUGAAAGCCCGGGGCUCAACCCCGGGACUGCAUUUGGAACUGUGUGGCUGGAGUGUCGGAGAGGCAGGCGGAAUUCCUAGUGUAGCGGUGAAAUGCGUAGAUAUCAGGAGGAACACCAGUGGCGAAGGCGGCUUACUGGACUGUAACUGACGUUGAGGCUCGAAAGUGUGGGUAUCAAACAGG